UCGGUGUAGGAUGAGACUAUAUUGUAUCAGCUAGUUGGUGAGGUAAUGGCUCACCAAGGCUAUGACGCAUAACUGGUCUGAGAGGAUGAUCAGUCACACUGGAACUGAGACACGGUCCAGACUCCUACGGGAGGCAGCAGUAGGGAAUAUUGCUCAAUGGGCGAAAGCCUGAAGCAGCAACGCCGCGUGGAGGAUGACACUUUUCGGAGCGUAAACUCCUUUUGUUGGGGAAGAAAUUUGACGGUACCCAACGAAUAAGCACCGGCUAACUCCGUGCCAGCAGCCGCGGUAAUACGGAGGGUGCAAGCGUUACUCGGAAUCACUGGGCGUAAAGGACGCGUAGGCGGAUUAUCAAGUCUUUUGUGAAAUCUAAUGGCUUAACCAUUAAACUGCUUGAGAAACUGAUAAUCUAGAGUGAGGGAGAGGCAGAUGGAAUUGGUGGUGUAGGGGUAAAAUCCGUAGAGAUCACCAAGAAUACCCAUUGCGAAGGCGAUCUGCUAGAACUCAACUGACGCUAAUGCGUGAAAGCGUGGGGAGCAAACAGGAUUAGAUACCCUGGUAGUCCACGCCCUAAACGAUGUAUACUAGUUGUUGCUCUGCUAGUCAGGGCAGUAAUGCACCUAACGGAUUAAGUAUACCGCCUGGGGAGUACGGUCGCAAGAUUAAAACUCAAAGGAAUAGACGGGGACCCGCACAAGCGGUGGAGCAUGUGGUUUAAUUCGAAGAUACGCGAAGAACCUUACCUGGGCUUGAUAUCCUAAGAACCUCUUAGAGAUAAGAGGGUGCUAGCUUGCUAGAACUUAGAGACAGGUGCUGCACGGCUGUCGUCAGCUCGUGUCGUGAGAUGUUCGGUUAAGUCCGGCAACGAGCGCAACCCACGUAUUUAGUUGCUAACAGUUUGGCUGAGCACUCUAAAUAUACUGCCUUCGUAAGGAGGAGGAAGGUGUGGACGACGUCAAGUCAUCAUGGCCCUUAUGCCCAGGGCGACACACGUGCUACAAUGGCAUAUACAAUGAGACGCAAUAUCGCGAGAUGGAGCAAAUCUAUAAAAUAUGUCCCAGUUCGGAUUGUUCUCUGCAACUCGAGAGCAUGAAGCCGGAAUCGCUAGUAAUCGUAGAUCAGCCAUGCUACGGUGAAUACGUUCCCGGGUCUUGUACUCACCGCCCGUCACACCAUGGGAGUUGAUUUCACUCGAAGCGGGGAUGCUAAACUAGCUACCCUCCACAGUGGAAUCAGCGACUGGGGUGAAGUCGUAACAAGGUAACCGUAGGAGAACCUGCGGUUGGAUCACCUCCUUU
RNAcentral lists this ribosomal RNA (1298 nucleotides) under Campylobacter magnus. RNAcentral's name for it is "bacterial SSU rRNA". It matches the Rfam family "Bacterial small subunit ribosomal RNA", at positions 215 to 1533 of the family's 1533-position model. The record is from RNAcentral. Lineage: Bacteria; Pseudomonadati; Campylobacterota; Epsilonproteobacteria; Campylobacterales; Campylobacteraceae.